This is a non-coding RNA of Meleagris gallopavo (turkey), 1073 nucleotides long. Lineage: Eukaryota; Metazoa; Chordata; Aves; Galliformes; Phasianidae. The record is from RefSeq and is a predicted model, not a curated record.
GUAUUUACCACUCUGUCCAUCACCAAGCGUUCUGGUGAAAGUACCCUUCAGUCUGGUUGCUGAGGUUAAAGACCCCCAUUCCUGUUAUUGCCAGAGACUGACUUUCAUCGCUAUGGCUGACUUGCACAACUCAGAAGAAAGAUUUUGAAAGAAGUGAUCAUCAGAUGACUGCAGAAACGUUUAUGUUUCAGACAGAGCACUCCACAGUCCUGAGGAGAAGAACAAAAUGGGAGUUAGCCACCAGCGGUGAUUGACUGGCAAUCAACAAUGCAAUGGGCACAUUGACAAUCCAGCUGAUGUUUAGCAGAGCAUUUCACACGUGCUUUCAUGAAAUCACAGCCUGAACCCUGCACUGUCUGGUGGGCAGUGAUGGAAGAACUGCUGGCACAGCUGAACAACUUUAUUUUUUUUCCUCUGUAAUUUGCUACUUGAACAAAGAACCAUCCUAACUCAAGAAUGUCACCGCAAGUUCAGACAACUGUGUUCUGAAUUAUAACACUGCAAUUGCAAAUUAUCCUUACGAGCAUGCAUUUUUACCAAUGACUUUUGCAUGCCAACGUUGGGGAUAUUAUCUGUAUGUUGGGUUAUGAGGAAGGAGGUAUCACUGGGAAGAAAAAAAAAAGUGCUGUCUACGAUAUUGACUCUCUUUGCUUCCAAACGGACUGCUAUGACUGUUUAUUUUAGAGAUACUUAUUUCUGAAAAUAUUACUAAUGAGAAAGAAAAUAGUUUUUAUUAAGGCCUUGUUAUACAGAAAGGUUUUUGUUGUUUUUUUUUUUUUCUGAUAGUAACAACCUUGCACAUAACACAGAAGUGACCUCUAUAGCUUUAUCUUACAGUUUACAUGAUUAUAAAUAAUCCAGUUUGAAACUGACAGAUUUCCAAUUUGGAUUGAAUUAUAUUUCAAGAGCAUGAGAUAGCUUUAUUCAAUUUGGAUGAAUUCUUCCUCUUCAGUGUGCAAUGGCAUACUGCACACUUUCAGGUCUGAAUUGGCCACUUUGCACACAGUGAUAUUGAGGCUUCCUUCACACUGAUGGGGUGAUCGAGUCAAAACCAAGCAACCAAAAAAAAAAAA